Long non-coding RNA from Bubalus bubalis (water buffalo), 2178 nucleotides. RefSeq lists it as uncharacterized. Lineage: Eukaryota; Metazoa; Chordata; Mammalia; Artiodactyla; Bovidae. The transcript is spliced from 3 exons. The record is from RefSeq and is a predicted model, not a curated record.
AGGGAGACUGAGGCCAAGGGGAGCCCUGUGUCUUCAAGGUUCAGACCAUGGUUUCAUGAGCCCUAAGUGACAUCCAGUGUUUAAGUGAUCCUUGCUUUUCCCAUCUUGGAUAGGAGGACUUAGUGAGUGCUCUGGACCUGGUAAGCAUGGUGGCAUCUCAUGGCUUUGAGCUCUCUAUUUUAUGGGAAUCAACAUAUAUAAUGGCUAAUUUCCCAGGUGGCUCAGUGAUAAAGAAUCUGCCUGCCAAUGCAAGAGAGGACGGUUUGAUCUCUGGGUCAGGAAGAUCCCCUGGAGGAGGAAAUGACAACCCACUCCGGUAUUCUUACCUGGGAAAUUCCAAGGACAGAGGAACCUGGUGGGCUACAGUCCAUGGGGUCACAAACAGUUAGACAUGACUGAGCGACUAAGCACAUACACAAAGUGAUCAUAAAUGUAUUUCUUGUAAGAUUCAAAAGGCACUGUGGGUAUCUUAUUAUAGAAAUGAUUUAUCAACAGAAUAGCAAACAGAUUCUUCUUUGGGGAACUUUUUAUAAAGUUUCUAGUUGUUUAGGUUCUCUAUAAUUGGGAAUUUACUGUUACUUCCUGAUUUAGACUCACUUUAUUUCCUAUUAAAACAAGAAUCAUUAGUAACAUGAAUAGUAUACAGAAUUUAACUUUCCUUGGAGAUAAAAACAGUGGAAAUAUUAUUACUAUAAACAUAAAGUAAGAAAUACCUAGUUCCAUUUCAUUGCUAAUAGACUCUUAGAAACACAAAAUUACAGAAUUGUAGUACUAGAUAGGAAUCUGGGAAGGUCACUGGCAUUUUAUUAUUAGAUUAUCUCAAAUCAGUAUUUUUGGUGUUAGUCUUUAUGGCUUAUCUUCAGAAGCAAUCUUAGGAAACGCUCCAUAGAUGUGGGUCACAGAGUUAUGAUGAACGGUUCAUACCCAAUAUUUCUGCCACUUCCAAGUGCCGCUCAGGAAGCAUCUGUGAUGUGAACGUGAACACUGCCGGGGAGGUGAGCACCACAGAAAGGCCAUGAGGCUGGGGAGAAAGGAAACGUGGUGACUGCUGGGGAAGGCUGGUCUUCAGCCUAAUAUUCUAGAUAUUAAAUUACUUUAUCCUGUAUUCCAAACAAUCAAGAAUCGACAAAAAACACUGAUGGCAAUUGACAGGAAUCUAAGAUUAAAUUAAGGCAUUUAUUAUGAUUUUACCACCAGGGGAUGAUCCACAUUGUAAUCCUUUGCUUUAUAAGUCUUCACUAAGCCCGAAAUUGGGUAAGACAUUCCAUGGCUAGAAAAAAAAUAAAGUCCUUAUAUUGACAUACAUCUAACAGAAAUUCAAGUUAACAAUACAAAGAUACUCUUAUGGGAGAGCCCCUCACAGUCUCUUGACAGUAUCAUUAACCCACAAGGUUAGAUGUUUUGUUUUCUUUGAUUCCCAUAAGGAUAUAUUAUUAUGCAAUUGAUAUUUGGCACAUUCAUUGACUAAACUGCUGAAAUGUUCAAAAUCAAAUGUUGAUAGAACUACACGCCAUUAAAAAGUACUGACAUAGAAGUUGCUCCUUGAGCACAUUGGUUAACCUUAUGAUCUUGAAGAAAUCAAGAAUUCACUUUGAAGUUUUUUUUUUAACAAUCUUCAGGGUAUGCAUUUUCUGUCUUGCUCGGCACAGCCUUGGCAAUGUGCUCCUUCACAAACUGAAUAUGUUGGUGGGAGUUUUAUGAACCAAGAUGUACUGUGCUAGACGUGCAAGCUUGUUCCGCCAGUGAUCCAUCUUGCCAGGGAUUAAUACGUUCUUUUAAAUGCUACGUACUAAUGGGAACUGAGUCAUACAUGAUUAUUUCAGUCUGUAAGGCUAUCGAGAAAAGGCACCAUGGUUUUCAUUUGUGGGGAUUUUUUCUGUUUAUUUUAAUGGGAAAACUCUCAAAUUCUUAGUGUACAAAUAGGACAAUAUAAUAGUUUAUAAGAUGACCCAGGAGAUAAACACUGUGAGAAGUUAACAUCUUUACAAUUGAUAUUUUGAAAAUGAAAUGCUUUACAAUAGUAAAAGGGUCUGUUAGUCCGUUAAUGUGGGUUUUAUUGGAUUACUUUGUUCUUAGUAAAAAAUUUGUAUUUCAUAGAAAGAUGAAGUGUUUUGGUGAAUUGUAUGGUUAUCCAAAAAAAAGAUGCCCCAUGCCUGUCAUCACUCAUAAAGCAGAUCA